GAUGAACGCUGGCGGUGUGCCUAAUACAUGCAAGUCGAGCGAACGGACGAGAAGCUUGCUUCUCUGAUGUUAGCGGCGGACGGGUGAGUAACACGUGGAUAACCUACCUAUAAGACUGGGAUAACUUCGGGAAACCGGAGCUAAUACCGGAUAAUAUUUUGAACCGCAUGGUUCAAAAGUGAAAGACGGUCUUGCUGUCACUUAUAGAUGGAUCCGCGCUGCAUUAGCUAGUUGGUAAGGUAACGGCUUACCAAGGCAACGAUGCAUAGCCGACCUGAGAGGGUGAUCGGCCACACUGGAACUGAGACACGGUCCAGACUCCUACGGGAGGCAGCAGUAGGGAAUCUUCCGCAAUGGGCGAAAGCCUGACGGAGCAACGCCGCGUGAGUGAUGAAGGUCUUCGGAUCGUAAAACUCUGUUAGUAGGGAAGAACAUAUGUGUAAGUAACUGUGCACAUCUUGACGGUACCUAAUCAGAAAGCCACGGCUAACUACGUG
RNAcentral lists this ribosomal RNA (497 nucleotides) under uncultured bacterium. RNAcentral's name for it is "partial 16S ribosomal RNA". It matches the Rfam family "Bacterial small subunit ribosomal RNA", at positions 28 to 507 of the family's 1533-position model. The record is from RNAcentral.